RNAcentral lists this ribosomal RNA (484 nucleotides) under uncultured bacterium. RNAcentral describes it as "partial 16S ribosomal RNA". It matches the Rfam family "Bacterial small subunit ribosomal RNA", at positions 30 to 507 of the family's 1533-position model. The record is from RNAcentral.
AUUGAACGCUGGCGGCAGGCCUAACACAUGCCAGUCGAGCGGCUGCAGGGUGCUUGCUCCUGGAUUCAGCGGCGGACGGGUGAGUAAUGCCUAGAAAUCUGCCUGGUAGUGGGUUAUAACGUCCGGAAACGGGCGCUAUUACCCCAUAAGUGCAGAGGGCGUACGUGUGAGAGCUUCGGACCUCCCGCUCUCACAUGAGCCUAGGUCGGAUUAGCUAGUUGGCGGGGUAAAGGCCUACCAAGGCGACGAUCCGUAGCUGGUCUGAGAGGAUGAUCAGUCACACUGGAACUGAGACACGGUCCAGACUCCUACGGGAGGCAGCAGUGGGGAAUAUUGGACAAUGGGCGAAAGCCUGAUCCAGCCAUGCCGCGUGGGUGAAGAAGGUCUUCGGAUUGUAAAGCACUUUUGGUGGGGAGGAAGAGCAGUAAGUUAAUACCUCGCUGUUUUGACGGUACCAAAAGAAUAAGCACCGGCUAACUUCGUG